RNAcentral lists this ribosomal RNA (460 nucleotides) under uncultured bacterium. Its description in RNAcentral is "partial 16S ribosomal RNA". It matches the Rfam family "Bacterial small subunit ribosomal RNA", at positions 338 to 795 of the family's 1533-position model. The record is from RNAcentral.
CCUACGGGAGGCAGCAGUGAGGAAUAUUGGUCAAUGGGCGCGAGCCUGAACCAGCCAAGUAGCGUGAAGGAUGACUGCCCUACGGGUUGUAAACUUCUUUUAUAUGGGAAUAAAGUGCAGCACGUAUACCGUUUUGCAUGUACCUUAUGAAUAAGGAUCGGCUAACUCCGUGCCAGCAGCCGCGGUAAUACGGAGGAUCCGAGCGUUAUCCGGAUUUAUUGGGUUUAAAGGGUGCGUAGGUGGGUUGUUAAGUCAGUUGUGAAAGUUUGCGGCUCAACCGUAAAAUUGCAGUUGAUACUGGCAGCCUUGAGUACAGUAGAGGUAGGCGGAAUUCGUGGUGUAGCGGUGAAAUGCUUAGAUAGCACGAAGAACUCCGAUUGCGAAGGCAGCCUGCUAGACUGUAACUGACGCUGAUGCUCGAAAGUGUGGGUAUCAAACAGGAUUAGAUACCCGGGUAGUC